CCUACGGGCGGCAGCAGUGAGGAAUAUUGGUCAAUGGACGAGAGUCUGAACCAGUCAAGUAGCGUGAAGGAUGACUGCCCUAUGGGUUGUAAACUUCUUUUAUAUGGGAAUAAAAUGUUCCACGUGUGGGAUUUUGUAUGUACCAUAUGAAUAAGGAUCGGCUAACUCCGUGCCAGCAGCCGCGGUAAUACGGAGGAUCCGAGCGUUAUCCGGAUUUAUUGGGUUUAAAGGGAGCGUAGGUGGAUUGUUAAGUCAGUUGUGAAAGUUUGCGGCUCAACCGUAAAAUUGCAGUUGAAACUGGCAGUCUUGAGUACAGUAGAGGUGGGCGGAAUUCGUGGUGUAGCGGUGAAAUGCUUAGAUAUCACGAAGAACUCCGAUUGCGAAGGCAGUUCACUGGACUGCAACUGACACUGAGUCUCGAAAGUGUGGGUAUCAAACAGGAUUAGAUACCCGUGUAGUC
RNAcentral lists this ribosomal RNA (460 nucleotides) under uncultured bacterium. RNAcentral's name for it is "partial 16S ribosomal RNA". It matches the Rfam family "Bacterial small subunit ribosomal RNA", at positions 338 to 795 of the family's 1533-position model. The record is from RNAcentral.